GCAGACUCACUCUGUACCCGGCUGCCGUCCCAGGCGGGUGCUUUUUCCGUCUGCCACAGAAAUUUCUGGGGUGCUGUGACUACCUUGACUUGUUAAGGGUGAUGCAGCUGCCCAGAGACAUAGGA
Pteropus vampyrus (large flying fox) is the source of this 125-nucleotide small nucleolar RNA. NCBI's taxonomy places the organism in Eukaryota, Metazoa, Chordata, Mammalia, Chiroptera, Pteropodidae. The record is from Ensembl.